This 95-nucleotide ribosomal RNA is filed under the name uncultured bacterium. Its description in RNAcentral is "partial 16S ribosomal RNA". It matches the Rfam family "Bacterial small subunit ribosomal RNA", at positions 1388 to 1482 of the family's 1533-position model. The record is from RNAcentral.
CACCGCCCGUCACACCAUGGGAGUGGAUUGCACCAGAAGUGGCUACGCUAACCGCAAGGAGGCAGGCCCCUAAGGUGUGGUUCAUGACUGGGGUG